Molecule: long non-coding RNA, 1868 nt
Organism: Musa acuminata subsp. malaccensis (wild Malaysian banana)
Lineage: Eukaryota; Viridiplantae; Streptophyta; Magnoliopsida; Zingiberales; Musaceae
Source: RefSeq, a predicted model, not a curated record
CCUUCCAUCUCUAUAAAUUGGGACUUCGGACCUUUUCCUACGUCUCGCGUUGGGUUCUUGUGUGGGUUUUGUAGGGCUACAGAGAGAGGAAGAUGAGGGAUCUUUGUGUGUUGAUUCGCGAUGCACGAUUCUGCGUUCGCAGUUGCAGUAUCAAUUCGGUUAUUUUUUCUUUUCCUUUGGUUUUUGUUCAUUUAUCCUCCGCAAAGCCUUGUUAAGGUCUAUUUGAGUACAAAUGUUUGUUGCAUGUAGCAAUAGGAAAAGGUUGUAGGUUCGCUGUGAGCGGACGUUUGGAUUUUGACAGGUUCUGCUUCGCCAUGGGGUAUGUUGAUGUUGAGAUACUGUGAUGCACGGUGCACCCCGGGUUUCUCUGAAGAGACCUGUGACGAUCGAAGCCCCAAUGCUUGUGCGGGAUUAAGCUUCCGUUCCGUGUUGCAGGGAGAAUCUACUUGGGAAAGCAGCAACCUAUAUGACAUCAACUAACACUUCUGUGGCUCCAAUCUUUUACUACUUCAAGCCAUUCUAGCUUCGUUGGUGCCUGUUUUGCGGUAUUUACUGUCAUCUAGUUGCAUGAUUGUAUGGUUUUCUGAAAACAUUAUAUAUCCAUUUGCACUCAUAUCUGCUUGAAGUUGUCUUUGGUGAGUGUGUAUAGUUGGGUAAAAGCAAUAAUUGUCUAUCUUUUCCUACAUACAAUAAUUUAUGUUUCUCUAGGAAAGAUGUUGCAGAUCAGUUUUGUAGAUAGGGCUUGUGUGUUACUAACUUUGUGACCUGUCACAUCGUAGUACUGGGACCAAUUACUUUCAUGAUAUAUCUUUCAGUAUCUUUCUUUAUAAGGUUUUUAGCAUGACAUCUUCUGAAGUCCAUUGCUUACAGUAUCAUUUGUAAUUUUUUAUAUAAUAUUUUAUGAUAUAUGUUAAAUAUUUUCCUUUUUGUUCCUUCAAACAAUUAUCCUUUGAGAACUAGUUUGUUUUGCCUAUCUAGUAUUGCAGUGAUUGUUGACAAUACCUGAGUUUAACUAUCCUCCAGCUGCUCGUUAAUGAUAGGCCUGGAGGCUGAAGAACUCAGAAAUGUUGUGUUGCCAUCAGCUUCAUCUCCUGUCCUAUGAGUUUGGAGUUAAAUAACAACACAAAAUUUUAUAUUUGUAGAUAUACAUUCUUGGAGUUUGUCAUACGUAUUCUUUUACUUAACAAUUACCUAUAUGAGUUGCCAGUGCUGACCUCUCUUUGAUGUUGUUUUAUGUGAGCCCUAAAUUGGCAUUCAGGGUACGGCUGUUAAUUACCUUCCGGUAUUCUGCAACAUGGAGAUCGAUCUGUCAAUAUCCUUCGAUGAAUUAGGCAACAACUAUUCUGUGCUCGUCCUGUGCCAGUGUUAUGUUGGUAAAGGGACAUGUACAAGUUUUGGUGGUUCAGAUUCCCUCGUGAACUUUAUCCAGUUGGAUCAGAUUUCUACCUCUAUACUUGUUACUAAAUCGAAGCGGAUAGGUGAUAGUGACAUCCCAACAGCAUGCCAUCGUCUUCUUCCUCACGAUUAAUUUAACGUUGCCUUCUUUAAGAGUUUCGAGUGCACAGAUGCUUCUUCUAUUAGGUGAAUAAUCUAAUAUUGUUAAUUUAAUACAGUGCAUUAAAUAUUGGUAGUAUCAUAUUGACUACAAGUUGUAUGAUGAGAUCUCUGUCAUCAGCCGAGGGGCUGUUUUGGGCAAUACCCUUUUGAGAAGCUUCAUAGUUCUGUAUUAGACCUGCAAGUACUUGGGAAUCGUCUAAAUAGGAAUGUUGUGAGGGACCUGAUCAAAAUUCCCAGGUCUAUGGGCGAUCUCUCUGUAAAAACCGUAAUGGAUAUCCUAUUUAUCUCUUAUUUUAUUGGACGUUCUUUGA